RNAcentral lists this ribosomal RNA (406 nucleotides) under uncultured bacterium. Its description in RNAcentral is "partial 16S ribosomal RNA". It matches the Rfam family "Bacterial small subunit ribosomal RNA", at positions 30 to 526 of the family's 1533-position model. The record is from RNAcentral.
AUUGAACGCUGUCGGCAGGCCUAACACAUGCAAGUCGAGCGAACGGCGGACGGGUGAGUAAUGCCUAGGAAUCUGCCUGGUAGUGGGUGAUAACGUCCGGAAACGGGCGCUAAUACCGCAUACCAUCGGAUGUGGACAGCUGGGAUUAGCUAUUAGGUGGGGUAAAGGCUCACCUAGGCGACGAUCCCUAGCUGGUCUGAGAGGAUGACCAGCCAAACUGGAACUGAGACAAGGUCCAGAAUACUACGUGAGGCAGCAGUGGGGAAUAUUGCACAAUGGGCGCAAGCCUGAUGCAGCCAUGCCGCGGGUAUGAAGAAGGCCUUAGGGUUGGAAAGUACUUUCAGCGGGGAGGCGUUACCCGCAGAAGAAGCACCGGCUAACUCCGUGCCAGCAGCCGCGGUAAUUC